UACGGGGGGAGCAAGCGUUGUUCGGAUUUACUGGGCGUAAAGGGCGCGUAGGCGGUCAGCACAAGUCAGUUGUGAAAUCUCCGGGCUUAACUCGGAAAGGUCAACUGAUACUGUGCGACUAGAGUGCAGAAGGGGCAACUGGAAUUCCUGGUGUAGCGGUGAAAUGCGCAGAUAUCAGGAGGAACACCGGUGGCGAAGGCGGGUCUCUGGGCCGUAACUGACGCUGAGGAGCGAAAGCAUGGGGAGCGAACAGG
This 254-nucleotide ribosomal RNA is filed under the name uncultured bacterium. RNAcentral's name for it is "partial 16S ribosomal RNA". It matches the Rfam family "Bacterial small subunit ribosomal RNA", at positions 524 to 776 of the family's 1533-position model. The record is from RNAcentral.